UGGGGACUGACCAUAUUCCUCCUAUCAUUUGUUGGAACCAAGUCACAAGCUUAUCUCUUCGAGUUCCUCCUUGCUCGAUUCCAAAUAGAAGGGAGCAAAUGACAUCGAACGAUAGCUUCUUCAUUAAGGAGUUCUGCUAUACAUCGAUCUCCCAAAAUCAUCUUCAGAGACGUUGUUUGACUGUAGGAGAUCGUGCUACUAUCGCUGGUGAAUACAAACUUUUUGCUUCAUUUCCAUAUAUGAAAACAGUUGGUUUGCCAAAGAGGGUCAGCUUUGAUAUUGAGCCAUAUUUUUGUAUCCUUUCGUGAAGCCAUUUUUCUGCAGUAUUGGUUCUCAUUGCUUUGAGAAACUGCAGGCUAUGGCCUAUUAUGGGAAUCCCCAGUGAACCUGGAGGUAGUUUGUUGGAUGAUUUUCUUCCCUUGACAAGAAGAAGGAAGAUGGGGACAAGGAACAAGAAAAUGGUGAAGAAUGCAUUCAUUUCUUCUUCUUCUUUUCUUUGGGCUGUGUGGGUGUAUGUGUUAGGAAAGGGCUUCUGCAAGCUGCUGAUGUAGUAGGUUUAGAGAUUGGGUAAGUCAACUAAAUAGGAGUGCUCAGGGGACAAAUUAUGUAUGAGGAUUCAGAUUGUAAUCUUUGAGAUUUUGACCCAGAUAGGGCUCUUUAGACCUACAAAAGAUUGACGUGGACGGGUUUUUUGGCUGAUCUUACCGACCAGCAACAAAUUAGUGAUCUUGAUUAUAAUGAUAAUAAAAGAUGCAUGAACACAUCUGCAUUAUUGAUUUCA
Molecule: long non-coding RNA, 781 nt
Organism: Populus trichocarpa (black cottonwood)
Lineage: Eukaryota; Viridiplantae; Streptophyta; Magnoliopsida; Malpighiales; Salicaceae
Exons: 2
Source: RefSeq, a predicted model, not a curated record